AGAUCUCUAAAGUAGCACAAGGACAGUCUCAAAUAUAAGGUGCCUCAUAUACGUUUCAUUUCGUUCUCGAUUUUGAUGAAGUUUAGUGUAGGAAUAAAUAAGAAAUGUGGGGGUGGUGGUGGCAGCACAGGCAACAGGUUAGUAGGGGAGGGGACGGUGGGAGUGUGGUGAAGGAAAGGUGAUGACAUGAUGAUGGUGGUAUAGUGGCCAUCACAGUGGUGGGAGGAAAUUGGUAUAAAAGUAGCUAUAACUAUAAAAUUUUAAUGAAUGUUUAAUACAUCAAACCAAAUCUCAUCUGUUUAUUAAUGGAUUUAGUGAUUUGUAAUCCAUUUAAUACUCAUUUAAAAUAUAAAAUCCUUAUUCAUAACCUACACCAUUUUUAUAAAGGGUGGAUGUAGACUGCCAAAUGACUUUGGAUGAACUUUGCCACGUCUAGUCUAAACUCAUCAAUCUAAUUUGGUGGGGGAAGAUUUUCUAUCAGCAACAGUUUAUGUAAAAUUCAUUUUAACCAAUCUCAUGAGCUACA
RNAcentral lists this unclassified non-coding RNA (526 nucleotides) under Hevea brasiliensis (rubber tree). The record is from RNAcentral. Lineage: Eukaryota; Viridiplantae; Streptophyta; Magnoliopsida; Malpighiales; Euphorbiaceae.